AACGCACAUUGCGCCCCUUGGUAUUCCGGGGGGCAUGCCUGUUCGAGCGUCAUUAUAACCAAUCCAGCCUGGCUGGGUCUUGGGCCUCGCGGUAUAGCGGGCCUUAAAAACAGUGGCGGUGCUCUCAUGCUCUACGCGUAGUAACUUUCUCGCUAUAGGGUCCUGGGAGAUGCUUGCCAACAACCCCCAAUUUUUUUAGGUUGACCUCGGAUCAGGUAGGGAUACCCGCUGAACUUAA
Molecule: unclassified non-coding RNA, 238 nt
Filed under: Crocicreas sp.
Lineage: Eukaryota; Fungi; Ascomycota; Leotiomycetes; Helotiales
Description: partial contains 5.8S ribosomal RNA, internal transcribed spacer 2, and large subunit ribosomal RNA
Source: RNAcentral